Molecule: ribosomal RNA, 541 nt
Filed under: uncultured bacterium
Lineage: Bacteria
Description: bacterial SSU rRNA
Rfam family: Bacterial small subunit ribosomal RNA
Source: RNAcentral
AAUAGAUACCCAGGUAGUCCACGCCGUAAACGAUGAGUGCUAGGUGUUGGGGGGUUCCACCCUUAGUGCUGAAGUUAACACAUUAAGCACUCCGCCUGGGGAGUACGACCGCAAGGUUGAAACUCAAAGGAAUUGACGGGGGCCCGCACAAGCAGUGGAGCAUGUGGUUUAAUUCGAAGCAACGCGAAGAACCUUACCAGGUCUUGACAUCCUUUGACCACUCUAGAGAUAGAGCUUUCCCCUUCGGGGGACAAAGUGACAGGUGGUGCAUGGUUGUCGUCAGCUCGUGUCGUGAGAUGUUGGGUUAAGUCCCGCAACGAGCGCAACCCUUGACCUUAGUUGCCAGCAUUCAGUUGGGCACUCUAAGGUGACUGCCGGUGACAAACCGGAGGAAGGUGGGGACGACGUCAAAUCAUCAUGCCCCUUAUGACCUGGGCUACACACGUGCUACAAUGGAUGAUACAAAGGGUUGCGAAGCCGCGAGGCCAAGCCAAUCCCAAAAAGUCAUUCUCAGUUCGGAUUGUAGGCUGCAACUCGCCUA